GAUGAACGCUGGCGGCGUGCCUAAUACAUGCAAGUCGAGCGAACGGACGAGAAGCUUGCUUCUCUGAUGUUAGCGGCGGACGGGUGAGUAACACGCGGAUAACCUACCUAUAAGACUGGGAUAACUUCGGGAAACCGGAGCUAAUACCGGAUGAUAUUUUGAACCGCAUGGUUCAAAAGUGAAAGACGGUCUUGCUGUCACUUAUAGAUGGAUCGGCGCUGCAUUAGCUAGUUGGUAAGGUAAUGGCUUACCAAGGCAACGAUGCAUAGCCGACCUGAGAGGGUGAUCGGCCACACUGGAACUGAGACACGGUCCAGACUCCUACGGGAGGCAGCAGUAGGGAAUCUUCCGCAAUGGGCGAAAGCCUGACGGAGCAACGCCGCGUGAGUGAUGAAGGUCUUCGGAUCGUAAAACUCUGUUAUUAGGGAAGAACAUAUGUGUAAGUAACUGUGCACAUCUUGACGGUACCUAAUCAGAAAGCCACGGCUAACUACGUG
RNAcentral lists this ribosomal RNA (497 nucleotides) under uncultured bacterium. RNAcentral describes it as "partial 16S ribosomal RNA". It matches the Rfam family "Bacterial small subunit ribosomal RNA", at positions 28 to 507 of the family's 1533-position model. The record is from RNAcentral.